UUUGGUGGUCAUGGCACAAGCGAAACACCCGAUCCCAUCCCGAACUCGGCCGUUAAGCGCUGUCGCGCCGAUGGUACUGCGUCCUAAGGCGUGGAGAGUAGGUCGCCGCCAAAC
This 114-nucleotide ribosomal RNA is filed under the name Paracoccaceae bacterium. Lineage: Bacteria; Pseudomonadati; Pseudomonadota; Alphaproteobacteria; Rhodobacterales; Paracoccaceae. The record is from RNAcentral.